Molecule: long non-coding RNA, 273 nt
Filed under: Gossypium raimondii (Peruvian cotton)
Lineage: Eukaryota; Viridiplantae; Streptophyta; Magnoliopsida; Malvales; Malvaceae
Description: long non-coding RNA (GRAI_LNC001454)
Source: RNAcentral
UUGCCUUUUUUAAUUUGUGUGAUAUUCUUAGUAGGAAUAAAUUGUUACAAUCAACUAAAUCUGUGAAUAUUAGGGAGCAAGUAGUUAUAUUUUUACAUAUAAUUGGUCAUAAUGUAAGGUUUCGAGUGAUUGGAUCUAGAUAUUAUAGAUCAACUGAGACAAUUCACCGUUACUUUAGGGUUGUAUUGAGAGCUAUUUUGAAAUUGUAUAAACUAGUUAUUAGAUUACCUGAUGAGUCAACUCCUAGUAAAAUCAGAAACAAUCCAAGGUUUU